RNAcentral lists this unclassified non-coding RNA (343 nucleotides) under soil metagenome. RNAcentral's name for it is "partial contains 5.8S ribosomal RNA, internal transcribed spacer 2, and large subunit ribosomal RNA". The stretch from base 1 to 120 matches the Rfam family "5.8S ribosomal RNA", at positions 35 to 154 of the family's 154-position model. The record is from RNAcentral.
GAUGAAGAACGUAGCGAAAUGCGAUAAGUAAUGUGAAUUGCAGAAUUCAGUGAAUCAUCGAAUCUUUGAACGCACAUUGCGCCCACUAGUAUUCUGGCGGGCAUGCCUGUCCGAGCGUCAUUUCAACCCUCAAGCCCCCGGGCUUGGUGUUGGGGAUCGGCGAGCCUCCGCGCCCGCCGUCCCCUAAAUCUAGUGGCGGUCUCGCUGUAGCUUCCUCUGCGUAGUAGCACACCUCGCACUGGGAAACAGCGCGGCCACGCCGUUAAACCCCCAACUUCUGAACGUUUGACCUCGGAUCAGGUAGGAAUACCCGCUGAACUUAAGCAUAUCAAUAAGCGGAGGA